This is a long non-coding RNA of Fundulus heteroclitus (mummichog), 841 nucleotides long. RefSeq lists it as uncharacterized. The record is from RefSeq and is a predicted model, not a curated record. Lineage: Eukaryota; Metazoa; Chordata; Actinopteri; Cyprinodontiformes; Fundulidae. The transcript is spliced from 2 exons.
AUUCCUGGGACACGCCACGUCGCACACGCAGCCGCACAGGUCAUCGUCCCACCGCUGCCCCGCAGGACACGGCCGCCCCCCGCCCUGGCCUUGGCACUGGCACUCACCUGAACCCAAAGGUGUUGUGAUCCAGUUUCCAGCCCGGCUCACAGCUGGCCUCCCUCCGUCCGUUCUGACAGACGCACUCGCAGGUGGACUCCUCCAGAACCCUGUUGGGCCCGCAGAGAGCCAGCAGACCCGAGUCCAGCGCCUCUGGAAGAGAGGGAGGAUUAAAAGAGAGGAAGAAAGGGGAAAAAAAGAAACGGUAUUUAAGAUAAAAUCAGACGAUUAAGUGUCUGUGAAGUAAAAAAAAAAAAAACAAGUUAAUGAGGAUGCUUGAAUCAUCACGAUGGGCUUUCUAAACGUCACCCGAUAAUCUCCUCUAGACGAUGGUGUUUAGCUGAAAGCCUCACAGGGCUAAUUAUUGUUUAGAGAGCUGCAGUGGCUGUGGUCAAAGGUGCAGAGCAGCUGGUAUUCUCUUCCUCCCAGGCAUCGUCAGAAGAGGAGAGCGUUCCUCUCUUCGUCUUUUAGUGAUCUGCGUUUUUGCACGCAGGGACUUGAGUUUUAGCGCCGCUUGCAGACGGCGUAAUUUGUACGCGAACAGAAUCCUUUGUUUCUCCUGAUGUGACGAGUCGGGGGAUGAGGGUUUGGAGUCGGAAAGCUUCUCGAAAGAUGAAAGGCGCCGUACAUGAUUGUACACGAGAAAAAAUGCCGCAAAAACAUUCCUGCUUCAGUCGUAUCAACAGUGCGGCGGGGAGAAUGAGGUUCACACGCUCCGGCACCUUCGCCACCCGGCCGCUUU